Molecule: ribosomal RNA, 345 nt
Filed under: Triticum aestivum (bread wheat)
Lineage: Eukaryota; Viridiplantae; Streptophyta; Magnoliopsida; Poales; Poaceae
Description: partial small subunit ribosomal RNA
Source: RNAcentral
AUGUGGAAAUUGAUGGUUUUCGCCCAUACUGGCAUGAAACUUUCUCUUUUAUUGAGCUCAAAAACAGGCAGAGGGAGAUCAGAAAAAGUGUCAAAUCCAAUAGAACAGAGAACGAUGGCCCAAACAGAACAGCUUACUUCCUCUAUCCGAGUUGGCAAUCAAUAUCAAGAUCAGAGCGCGAGAGCAAUGAAACAACAAGUCCACCGUCCCUUCACCAGCCAAAGAAAGGAGAAGACUAAGCAGCUCAAUAGGGUCUCGAGUACGACUAUAGUACCAAAGCUUGGUGCUUCUACCAGUCAAGCAAUUACCACGGGUGGAUAUUCAAUAGAAAGCCUACUUGAGUAG